GCCUGGGUGGCUCGGUCAGUUAAGCGUCUGACUUUGGCUCAGGUUAUGAUCUCACAGUUCGUGGGUUCGAGCCCCAUGUCGGGCU
Felis catus (domestic cat) is the source of this 85-nucleotide non-coding RNA. The record is from Rfam. Lineage: Eukaryota; Metazoa; Chordata; Mammalia; Carnivora; Felidae.